AUGCAUUAUCACACAACAUGGUCCUUGAAGAUGCAUCUACAGACAGACUAGUUUCAGUUCAAACCUCACCUCUGGCAGUGGAGUCCCACCUGGGCAUGUCAGGUUUUCCUCCAUCUGUUUCAGAAUUCCUG
Protopterus annectens (West African lungfish) is the source of this 131-nucleotide long non-coding RNA. RefSeq lists it as uncharacterized. NCBI's taxonomy places the organism in Eukaryota, Metazoa, Chordata, Ceratodontiformes, Protopteridae. The record is from RefSeq and is a predicted model, not a curated record. The transcript has 3 exons.